This 2136-nucleotide ribosomal RNA is filed under the name Triticum aestivum (bread wheat). RNAcentral's name for it is "partial small subunit ribosomal RNA". Lineage: Eukaryota; Viridiplantae; Streptophyta; Magnoliopsida; Poales; Poaceae. The record is from RNAcentral.
AUGGCGCACUUGACAAACUGCACACGCCUCCGUUACGUUGAUCUUCAGGGCAACAUGCUCGGUGGCGUGUUGCCGAGCUCUGUUUCCAAUCUAUCAGCACAUCUAGAAAUCCUUUACGUUGGAUUCAAUGAGAUUACUUGAACAAUACCACAUGACAUUACUGAACUUGUUGGGUUAAGUCUGUUGCAGCUCUCUAAUAACCAUUUUACCGGUGAAUUGCCUGGCAGCAUUGGACGCCUAAAUCUGCUAGAGGCCUUAGGGUUUGAAAAUAACCGACUGAAAGGGUCCCUGCCAUUUUCCCUUGGGAACUUGACGUGGCUAGCAAGUCUUUACGCAGAGGGCGACAACUUUGAGGGGCGUCUUCCAACAAGCCUAGGGAGCCUCCAGGAGAUUACUACAGGCAAUUUUUCAAACAAUAUGUUCACAGGUCCAUUGCCUAAAGAGAUCUUUUACCUAUCUUCCCUGACAAACGCCCUGGAUUUGUUAGAUAAUUAUUUUGUUGGUACACUUCCACCAGAAGUUGGCCUCCUCACAAAAGUUGCAUACAUGUACAUCUCCAACAAUAACCUGUCAGGGCCCCUGCCCGAUGCACUGAGCAGUUGCCAAAGCUUGAUACACCUCCGGUUGGACCAUAACUCCAUCAAUAGUAGCAUUCCUGCUUCUGUGAGCAAAAUGCAAGGCUUGAUAUUGCUAAACCUUACCAAAAACACACUCUAUGGUAUGAUUCCUCGAGAGCUAGGACUCAUGGAUGGCAUUCAAGAAUUGCAUCUCGCACACAACAACCUGUCUGGUCAUAUCACUGAAAGCUUUGGGAACAUGACAUCGUUGUACCGGUUUGACCUGUCUUUCAACCGGCUUGACGACAGAGUUCCAUCACAGGGUGUGUUCAGUAACGUGACGAGGUUUUCCUUUGAAGGGAACUCGGCCCUCUGUGGUGGCGUCUCAGAAUUAUAUUUGCCCCUAUGCCCGCCGGAAUCCAUGGAACAUGGUCUAAGGAAACGUCAUUUUCUGAUGAAAGUAGUUAUUCCAAUUGUUGCUGGCAUCAUUAUAUGCUCGAGUUUGAUUCUUGUUUUCUUCACAAUAAGAAAGAAACCAAAAGCACAAUCUGCAACCACGAGGGGAUUCCAAUUGGCAGAUGACAAUUAUCCUAGAGUUUCUUAUGCUGAAUUGUUCCAAGGAACAAAUUGCUUUGCCACAGACAAUUUGAUUGGUAGAGGAAGGUAUGAUUCUGUGUAUAAGUGCGGUUUGCUACUAAAGAAUAUGAUGUCCACAGUUGCUAUGAAGGUUUUUGAUCUUCAACAAUCUGGCUCCUCCAGAAGCUUUCUAGCUGAGUGUGAGGCACUUCGCAAGAUAUGCCAUCAUAAUUUGAUCAGUGUCAUCACUUGCUGCUCAAGCUUAGACUCAAACCAAAACGACUUCAAAGCCAUUGUGUUUGAGUUCAUGCCUAAUGGGAGCCUAGAUAAGUGGCUGCAUCCAGAUGUACCUACAUCGCAACAACUGCAAGGCUUGACAAUGGUGCAGAGGUUAAAUAUUGCCGUUGAUGUUGCUGAUGCACUAGAUUACUUGCACAACUGCGAACCUCCAGUUGUUCACUGUGAUUUGAAGCCAAGCAACAUUCUUUUUGAUACGUAUUUAGUUGCUCACAUUGGGGACUUUGGCCUUGCAAAGAUUCUUUCGGAUCCAGAAGGGGAGAGACCAAUCAAUUCAAAGAGCUCUAUCGAAAUAAGAGGAACAAUUGGAUAUCUUGCUCUAGAAUAUGGCGAAGGUAGUCAAGUUUCUCCAUCUGGAGAUGUAUACAGCUUUGGAAGUGUCAUCCUUGAGUUGUUUACAGGCAUGGAGCCAACUCAUGACAUGUUCAGAGACGGGUUGACCUUGCAAAAACAUGCCGAGAAUGCAUUUCCAGAUAAGCUAAUGGAGAUUGUUGAUCCUGUCUUACCAUCCAUUGAAGAAAAAUAUGGGAGUAGUUUGCAGAAUCAAAGCAACAGAAUGGAGGAUAUCUGCAACACCAUAUUCUCUAUCAUAGAAGUUGCGCUAUCGUGCUGCAAGCAAGCACCAACAGAGAGGAUGUGCACGAGAGAUGCAGCAGCUGGGAUGCGCAAGAUAAGGGAUAGCCAUGUUAGAAAGAGUACAAGAUGA